Molecule: ribosomal RNA, 309 nt
Filed under: Klebsiella pneumoniae
Lineage: Bacteria; Pseudomonadati; Pseudomonadota; Gammaproteobacteria; Enterobacterales; Enterobacteriaceae
Description: partial 23S ribosomal RNA
Rfam family: Bacterial large subunit ribosomal RNA
Source: RNAcentral
UCGGGGCAGGGUGAGUCGACCCCUAAGGCGAGGCCGAAAGGCGUAGUCGAUGGGAAACAGGUUAAUAUUCCUGUACUUGGUGUUACUGCGAAGGGGGGACGGAGAAGGCUAUGUUAGCCGGGCGACGGUUGUCCCGGUUUAAGCAUGUAGGCUGGUUAUCCAGGCAAAUCCGGAUAAUCAAGGCUGAGGUGUGAUGACGAGGCACUACGGUGCUGAAGUAACAAAUGCCCUGCUUCCAGGAAAAGCCUCUAAGCAUCAGGUAACAUCAAAUCGUACCCCAAACCGACACAGGUGGUCAGGUAGAGAAUA